Molecule: ribosomal RNA, 465 nt
Filed under: uncultured bacterium
Lineage: Bacteria
Description: partial 16S ribosomal RNA
Rfam family: Bacterial small subunit ribosomal RNA
Source: RNAcentral
GACGAACGCUGGCGGCGUGCUUAACACAUGCAAGUCGAACGGAAAGGCCCCUUUGGGGGUACUCGAGUGGCGAACGGGUGAGUAACACGUGAGUAACCUGCCCUUGACUUCGGGAUAACUUCAGGAAACUGGGGCUAAUACCGGAUAGGAAUCCUUGCUGCAUGGUGGGGGUUGGAAAGCUUCGGCGGUUUUGGAUGGACUCGCGGCUUAUCAGUUUGUUGGUGGGGUAGUGGCUUACCAAGGCUUUGACGGGUAGCCGGCCUGAGAGGGCGACCGGCCACAUUGGGACUGAGAUACGGCCCAGACUCCUACGGGAGGCAGCAGUGGGGAAUAUUGCACAAUGGGCGGAAGCCUGAUGCAGCAACGCCGCGUGCGGGAUGACGGCCUUCGGGUUGUAAACCGCUUUCAGCAGGGGCGAAGCUUGUGGUGACGGUACCUGCAGAAGAAGCACCGGCUAACUACGUG